Molecule: ribosomal RNA, 323 nt
Filed under: Marimonadida sp.
Lineage: Eukaryota; Cercozoa; Imbricatea; Marimonadida
Description: SSU rRNA
Rfam family: Eukaryotic small subunit ribosomal RNA (bases 64-323)
Source: RNAcentral
GAUUUCUGACGUGACACGCCCGACCCUCCACGUUUACGUGUGUGCGUGUUGAGUGCGUGUCUGUCAUAUUUCUAGAAAACGUUUAUACCCUUCACUGGGUGGUGAACGCGAUCUAGAUCAUUUACUUUGAAAAAAUUAGAGUGUUCAAAGCAGGCUUGCGCUAUGAAUACAUUAGCAUGGAAUAAUAAUUUAGGACUUCGGUUCUAUUUUGUUGGUUUCUAGGACUGAAGUAAUGAUUGAUAGGGAUAGUUGGGGGUGCUAGUAUUCAGCGGCCAGAGGUGAAAUUCUUGGAUUCGCUGAAGACUAACUUAUGCGAAAGCAUU